Molecule: non-coding RNA, 158 nt
Filed under: Rhodospirillales bacterium
Lineage: Bacteria; Pseudomonadati; Pseudomonadota; Alphaproteobacteria; Rhodospirillales
Description: 6S RNA
Rfam family: 6S / SsrS RNA
About the family: E. coli 6S RNA was the first non coding RNA to be sequenced, but its function was unknown until recently.
Source: RNAcentral
ACGGUGCUGCGCGAUGCGUCUGGCCACGUUGUCCCUGGGGCCAAUAUCAUACCUCUUGGGAGCUGUCCCUAACGCGACCCUGGUCGCGUCAUAUGGCGCCCACCUGCGCUUGCAGGCCACAGAGGAGACAGAAAGCCGACGGUCGAGGCGGCUCCGUC